GUCCAGACUCCUACGGGAGGCAGCAGUGAGGAAUAUUGGUCAAUGGGCGGAAGCCUGAACCAGCCAAGUCGCGUGAGGGAAUAAGGCCCUACGGGUCGUAAACCUCUUUUGCCGGGGAGCAAGGGCCGGGACGCGUCCCGGCCCGGAGAGUACCCGGAGAAAAAGCAUCGGCUAACUCCGUGCCAGCAGCCGCGGUAAUACGGAGGAUGCGAGCGUUAUCCGGAUUUAUUGGGUUUAAAGGGUGCGCAGGCGGGAGAUCAAGUCAGCGGUAAAAUGUCGGGGCUCAACCCCGGCCGGCCGUUGAAACUGGUUUUCUAGAGUUGGAGAGAAGUAUGCGGAAUUCGUGGUGUAGCGGUGAAAUGCAUAGAUAUCACGAAGAACUCCGAUUGCGAAGGCAGCAUACCGGCUCCAUACUGACGCUGAGGCACGAAAGCGUGGGGAUCGAACAGGAUUAGAUACCCCCGUAC
This 467-nucleotide ribosomal RNA is filed under the name uncultured bacterium. RNAcentral's name for it is "bacterial SSU rRNA". It matches the Rfam family "Bacterial small subunit ribosomal RNA", at positions 329 to 793 of the family's 1533-position model. The record is from RNAcentral.